This 497-nucleotide ribosomal RNA is filed under the name uncultured bacterium. Its description in RNAcentral is "partial 16S ribosomal RNA". It matches the Rfam family "Bacterial small subunit ribosomal RNA", at positions 28 to 507 of the family's 1533-position model. The record is from RNAcentral.
GAUGAACGCUGGCGGCGUGCCUAAUACAUGCAAGUCGAGCGAACAGACGAGGAGCUUGCUCCUCUGACGUUAGCGGCGGACGGGUGAGUAACACGUGGAUAACCUACCUAUAAGACUGGGAUAACUUCGGGAAACCGGAGCUAAUACCGGAUAAUAUAUUGAACCGCAUGGUUCAAUAGUGAAAGACGGUUUUGCUGUCACUUAUAGAUGGAUCCGCGCCGCAUUAGCUAGUUGGUAAGGUAACGGCUUACCAAGGCAACGAUGCGUAGCCGACCUGAGAGGAUGAGCGGCCACACUGGAGCUGAGACACGGUCCAGACUCCUACGGGAGGCAGCAGUAGGGAAUCUUCCGCAAUGGGCGAAAGCCUGACGGAGCAACGCCGCGUGAGUGAUGAAGGUCUUCGGAUCGUAAAACUCUGUUAUUAGGGAAGAACAAAUGUGUAAGUAACUAUGCACGUCUUGACGGUACCUAAUCAGAAAGCCACGGCUAACUACGUG